RNAcentral lists this ribosomal RNA (578 nucleotides) under uncultured Finegoldia sp. Its description in RNAcentral is "bacterial SSU rRNA". It matches the Rfam family "Bacterial small subunit ribosomal RNA", at positions 28 to 609 of the family's 1533-position model. Lineage: Bacteria; Bacillati; Bacillota; Tissierellia; Tissierellales; Peptoniphilaceae. The record is from RNAcentral.
GACGAACGCUGGCGGCGUGCUUAACACAUGCAAGUCGAACGGGAUUUAGUAGACAGAAACCUCGGUGGAAGAUUACUAAUGAGAGUGGCGAACGGGUGAGUAACGCGUGAGCAACCUGCCUAUGACAGUGGGAUAGCCUCGGGAAACCGGGAUUAAUACCGCAUAAAAUCGUAGAAACACAUGUUUUAACGGUCAAAGAUUUAUCGGUCAUAGAUGGGCUCGCGUCUGAUUAGCUAGUUGGUGAGAUAACAGCCCACCAAGGCGACGAUCAGUAGCCGGUCUGAGAGGAUGAACGGCCACAUUGGAACUGAGACACGGUCCAAACUCCUACGGGAGGCAGCAGUGGGGAAUAUUGCACAAUGGGGAAACCCUGAUGCAGCGACGCCGCGUGAACGAAGAAGGUAUUCGUAUCGUAAAGUUCUGUCCUAUGGGAAGAUAAUGACAGUACCAUAGAAGAAAGCUCCGGCUAAAUACGUGCCAGCAGCCGCGGUAAUACGUAUGGAGCGAGCGCUGUCCGGAAUUAUUGGGCGCAAAGGGUACGCAUGCGGUUUAAUAAGUCAAUGUUAAAGAUCGGGGCU